UACGGAGGUUGCAAGCGUUAUCCGGAUUCACUGGGUUUAAAGGGUGCGUAGGUGGGCAGGUAAGUCAGUGGUGAAAUCUCCGGGCUUAACUCGGAAACUGCCAUUGAUACUAUCUGUCUUGAAUACCGUGGAGGUUAGCGGAAUAUGUCAUGUAGCGGUGAAAUGCUUAGAUAUGACAUAGAACACCAAUUGCGAAGGCAGCUGGCUACACGAAUAUUGACACUGAUGCACGAAAGCGUGGGGAUCAAACAGG
Molecule: ribosomal RNA, 253 nt
Filed under: uncultured bacterium
Lineage: Bacteria
Description: partial 16S ribosomal RNA
Rfam family: Bacterial small subunit ribosomal RNA
Source: RNAcentral